GACGAACGCUGGCGGCGUGCCUAAUACAUGCAAGUUGAGCGAUGAAGAUUGGUGCUUGCACCAAUUUGAAGAGCAGCGAACGGGUGAGUAACGCGUGGGGAAUCUGCCUUUGAGCGGGGGACAACAUUUGGAAACGAAUGCUAAUACCGCAUAACAACUUUAAACAUAAGUUUUAAGUUUGAAAGAUGCAAUUGCAUCACUCAAAGAUGAUCCCGCGUUGUAUUAGCUAGUUGGUGAGGUAAAGGCUCACCAAGGCGAUGAUACAUAGCCGACCUGAGAGGGUGGUCGGCCACAUUGGGACUGAGACACGGCCCAAACUGCUACGGGAGGCAGCAGUAGGGAAUCUUCGGCAAUGGACGAAAGGCUGACCGAGCAACGCCGCGUGAGUGAAGAAGGUUUUCGGAUCGUAAAACUCUGUUGGUAGAGAAGAACGUUGGUGAGAGUGGAAAGCUCAUCAAGUGACGGUAACUACCCAGAAAGGGACGGCUAACUACGUG
This 497-nucleotide ribosomal RNA is filed under the name uncultured bacterium. Its description in RNAcentral is "partial 16S ribosomal RNA". It matches the Rfam family "Bacterial small subunit ribosomal RNA", at positions 28 to 507 of the family's 1533-position model. The record is from RNAcentral.